GAUGAACGCUGGCGGCGUGCUUAACACAUGCAAGUCGAACGGAAAGGCUCCUGCUUGCAGGGGUACUCGAGUGGCGAACGGGUGAGUAACACGUGGGUGAUCUGCCCUGCACUUCGGGAUAAGCCUGGGAAACUGGGCCUAAUACCGGAUAGGACGAUGGUUUGGAUGCCAUUGUGGAAAGUUUUUUCGGUGUGGGAUGAGCUCGCGGCCUAUCAGCUUGUUGGUGGGGUAAUGGCCUACCAAGGCGUCGACGGGUAGCCGGCCUGAGAGGGUGUACGGCCACAUUGGGACUGAGAUACGGCCCAGACUCCUACGGGAGGCAGCAGUGGGGAAUAUUGCACAAUGGGCGCAAGCCUGAUGCAGCGACGCCGCGUGGGGGAUGACGGCCUUCGGGUUGUAAACUCCUUUCGCUAGGGACGAAGCGCAAGUGACGGUACCUGGAGAAGAAGCACCGGCUAACUACGUG
This 466-nucleotide ribosomal RNA is filed under the name uncultured bacterium. RNAcentral describes it as "partial 16S ribosomal RNA". It matches the Rfam family "Bacterial small subunit ribosomal RNA", at positions 28 to 507 of the family's 1533-position model. The record is from RNAcentral.